GCCGGGCACAGUGGCUCAUGCCUGUAAUCCCAGAGGCUCUGGAGGCUGAGGCAGGAGGAUCACCAGUUCAAAGCCAGCCUCAACAACAGCGAACCCCUAAGUAAGUCAGUGAGACCCUGUCUCUA
RNAcentral lists this small RNA (125 nucleotides) under Marmota monax (woodchuck). Lineage: Eukaryota; Metazoa; Chordata; Mammalia; Rodentia; Sciuridae. The record is from RNAcentral.